Molecule: ribosomal RNA, 253 nt
Filed under: uncultured bacterium
Lineage: Bacteria
Description: partial 16S ribosomal RNA
Rfam family: Bacterial small subunit ribosomal RNA
Source: RNAcentral
UACGGGGGGGGUAAGCGUUGUUCGGAAUUACUGGGCGUAAAGGGCUCGUAGGCGGCCAACUAAGUCGGACGUGAAAUCCCUCAGCUUAACUGGGGAACUGCGUCCGAUACUGGAUGGCUUGGAUUUGGGAGAGGGAUGCGGAAUUCCAGGUGUAGCGGUGAAAUGCGUAGAUAUCUGGAGGAACACCGGUGGCGAAGGCGGCCCACUGGAUCGGUACUGACGCUGAGGUGCGAAAGCGUGGGGAGCAAACAGG